This 508-nucleotide ribosomal RNA is filed under the name uncultured Bacteroidales bacterium. Its description in RNAcentral is "bacterial SSU rRNA". It matches the Rfam family "Bacterial small subunit ribosomal RNA", at positions 150 to 657 of the family's 1533-position model. Lineage: Bacteria; Pseudomonadati; Bacteroidota; Bacteroidia; Bacteroidales. The record is from RNAcentral.
UUCGAAAGAAAGAUUAAUACCCGAUGGUAUAACAUGACCUCCUGGUUUUGUUAUUAAAGAAUUUCGGUAGAGGAUGGGGAUGCGUUCCAUUAGGCAGUUGGCGGGGUAACGGCCCACCAAACCUUCGAUGGAUAGGGGUUCUGAGAGGAAGGUCCCCCACAUUGGAACUGAGACACGGUCCAAACUCCUACGGGAGGCAGCAGUGAGGAAUAUUGGUCAAUGGGCGAGAGCCUGAACCAGCCAAGUAGCGUGAAGGAUGACCGCCCUAUGGGUUGUAAACUUCUUUUAUAUGGGAAUAAAGUUUGCCACGUGUGGCAUUUUGUAUGUACCAUAUGAAUAAGGAUCGGCUAACUCCGUGCCAGCAGCCGCGGUAAUACGGAGGAUCCGAGCGUUAUCCGGAUUUAUUGGGUUUAAAGGGAGCGUAGGUGGACAUGUAAGUCAGUUGUGAAAGUUUGCGGCUCAACCGUAAAAUUGCAGUUGAUACUGCGUGUCUUGAGUACAGUAGAGG